Molecule: ribosomal RNA, 333 nt
Filed under: uncultured bacterium
Lineage: Bacteria
Description: bacterial SSU rRNA
Rfam family: Bacterial small subunit ribosomal RNA
Source: RNAcentral
AACGAACGCUGGCGGCGCGUUUUAAGCAUGCAAGUCGAACGGUAUUUUUGUUGCUUGCAACAAAAAGAGAGUGGCGAACGGGUGAGUAACACGUAAGUAAUUUUUCUAUAUGACUGGAAUAGCCAGUGGAAACAUUGGGUAAUGCCAGAUAUUUUGUGUAAGGGAAACUAUACAUAAAAAAGGGUAUUUUUAUGCCGCAUAUAGCGAAGCUUGCGGCUGAUUAGCUUGUUGGUAAGGUAAAGGCUCACCAAGGCGACGAUCUCUAGCUGGUCUGAGAGGAUGAUCAGCCACACUGGGACUGAGACACGGCCCAGACUCCUACGGGAGGCAGCA